Non-coding RNA from Macaca mulatta (Rhesus monkey), 3620 nucleotides. Lineage: Eukaryota; Metazoa; Chordata; Mammalia; Primates; Cercopithecidae. The record is from RefSeq and is a predicted model, not a curated record.
CCUCAGGUUCGUUUCCUGCAGCUUUCGGGCCCUCUCCUCCAGGCGCUUGGCAAUGACCGCCAGCUCUGCGUUCUUCCUCUUCAGCCUCCGCACCUUCUCUUCCGUCUCAGGGAAGCUGCUCUUCCUCUGACAAGGGGUCAGGCAGAAUUGGGGCAUGUAGGGAGCACCCCACAGACCCAGUCCUAAUGACCCAGGUCUUGGGUUAGAGCCCUAGGCUCACAGUGGGGUCCUUGGCAACUUUAGGCAGGGGUUCACCCUCUCUAGGUCUCAGCAUUUUGUCACCUCCAUGGAGCCCCCACUUGGAGAGAUGUUCAUGGGGUGAGGAGGACACUGAGGCAGAGGGCCUGGCUCCAACCAGAAUGCAGCACCCCAGUCUCCAAGCCUCACCAGCAUCUGGUUUUCCUCCUUAAGGAUGGCACAGCGCUGCCGCAGCUCCCCCAGGGCCCUCAGCAGCUCCAGAUUGGGCCUGUCCCCAAAGCCCAUAUUCAGCUUGGCCUGGCAUGGGAAAGGACCAAGGACAGCACCUCAGAAACCCAUGUCACCCAGCCAGAACCUUCCAUGUGGAAGCAUCCCCCAUCCAUGGUCCAAGGAGACGUGGAGAUGAAACGGUUUUGCCCCACAUCCCAGGUCUUCAGAGAGGAGCAGAGGAGGCCUAGGAGAAGGAACUGUCCAGUCCUUCCUGUCCACAUAGGCGCCCCCAACCCUGGCACCCUCCUGCUCCUCCCUUUUUCGUCCCACUCCUGCCCAUCUUCUCCUCCAGGGACGUGCCAGCUAGAGCUCCCACUCCCAUCCCUCCAGACUCCCCUGCCCACCCCCAAAGUCCUGUUCCUUCCCUCUUCUACAGGAGCCUGCUCACACCCACCCCAACCCUGGCUCAGCCCAGCACCAAGCCCCCUCCCUUCAUUCUACUUCCUCUGCACUGAUUCUCCGUGCACCUCCACACUCUCCCUGUACCCCCCAGCCCCCAAGGACAGACAAACUCAUGGAGGAAGAGACACAGACAGACAGACACACUGUCAGGGGGAGGCACAGAGAGGGACGGGGCAGCAGCAGGGCCAGAUCUAGACAGACAGGCAAAGAGGGUCAGAAGGACAGGCAAAUGACGAAAGAAAUGGAGCCCCUGAGAUUCCUGCUUGAUGAAGAGAGGACAGAUAGCCACAGAGACAGACCCACAGACAGGCCAAGAGAGGAGAGGUGGGCAGUAGGGAUCCACACCUCGCCUCACCUCCUGGCCAGGCUGGAGGACACGGUGAGAGACCCCACCUUGCAGACCCCAGCCAUCCACAGAUCCCUUACCUUCGGGAAAGCCUCUACUUCCUCAUCCUCUGGCCUCUGGCAGGCAGGUCCAGAGCUCGAUGCUUGCUGGCCCAGGCUGGGCAGACAAGCCUCUGCUUCUUCAGGGUCAGUGCCCCCAAUGGGCCCAGAGCUCCUGGCUCCUUUGGGCUCGGAACUCUCCUCAGACCUCAGUUCUGGAAGCUGCAGAGCUGCUGGAGGAGUAUCAGCGACACUUGGGACUGCAUCGCCAGGUUCACCCCCUCGACCUGGAGUCCAGCUCUGCCAGGGUUGGCUGAGCUCUUCCCCACCUACAAAGGAGGCUGCAGAAGGCGCCAGGGCUGCUGGAGCUGGAGCCAGGGGUAUGUGAGCUAUGUUUGCUGGUGGCUCUGUGUGUGUGCGCGAGUGUGUGGAGGAGCGAGGGUGUCCCCGUGGGGGUGGGGAGGAUGUGCAGAGGCCACUGACAGCUGCGCCUGGGUGAGGGUGCGUGUGUGUGUCUCCAGGUCUGUCCGUGCAGGUCAAUGUUGUCUCGUGUGUUGGGAAGAUGGGUGCCCCCACUUCUGUGUGUUGAGGGGGGUGGUGCUGUGUGUCACUGUCUGCCCAUUUCAGAGUUGCCAGUUGUUUCUGUGUGUGUGUGGGUGUCUGUAUUGCAGGGCUGUGGCAGUAUGUGAUGCUGUCACUGGUUGUAUCUGAGUGUGUCAGUGUCGUGCAGCUGUGUGCAUCGUUGUCGUUGUGUGUCUGUCAGUGUCUGUGGGUCUGGCCUUCCGUCGCAACCCCUCAGCCUGGCCAGGGUCUUCAGGAGCUGCUGGGGGUGAUCCCCAGUGGUCCUCUGUGGUCCUUUAUCUCCGGCUCUGCUCUCCGCUGCUGCUCUCUCGCUUGCUGGGUGACUGGGCUGGUCCUAAGGAGGUCUGGGUCGAUGGGCUGCUUGCCUCAUAGUCUCAGCCCCUGCUGGCCUCAGCUCUGGGGACUGCAGGGGUCCCUUACAGUCCGGGAGCCUCGAGAUGGUGGGCUCCGAGGAGGGCUGAGCCUCAGAACUGGGGGGGGUGAGCCGGGGAGAACCAGCCUUCCCCUCCUCCUCCUCCUCCCCUCCCACCCACCAAUAGGAAGUCGGCUGCUGGUUUCCAUGGUGAUGGCGCUGGACUGGUGGGUUGAACCGGCUGACAGGGUCGGGGGACAGAAGGAAGAGCAGGUUUCUCACGGGAUGUCAGCCCAGGGCUCCCACAUGUGGCCUCCCACCCUCAUCUUCACACAUUUUCACACCUUCCGGAGUACAGAGGCGAGCGGGGUGCAGAUGGUCCUCCCCACAUCGGGUGAGACAGAACGGGGGAGGGUAUGACAGAGAUCCAGCCACAGAGAAGGGCAGAACUAGAAAAGAUGGGACUUGAGAUGAAACAAAGAGAGAGAGAGAAACCAAGAGAAAGAAACCAGGACGACAAGCAAAGAGACAGGUAGAAAUAGACGGAGAGAAUUGCUUCCGCUUCCUCCUGGCAGAUUGCACUUGGUGGGCAACCUGACUGUCCCAGGCCACCAGGGAAUCCCACAUGGCCUGUUGGGUUGGCUUUGCCCUGAAUUGCCUGGAAGUUCACCUUCUGUGUAGCCUUAGACCUUGUUGCUUUGAAAAAAUAAUUUGGGGGACAAGGACGUGAGAAUCCCCCCAGCCAGGAGUCAGCCUAUAUCCAGGGGCAGGGGUCUAGACAGAGUCCCCAGAGACAGGGGUGUUGGGAGAAGCCCAGAGAGGCAGCCCCUCUCCCCUCUGAACCCGGGACUCAUUAGACAAGCCAGUUUCAGCCAUGGUCGGAGGCCCUCGUGUGGCACCCCCACAGAAUAGCAGCAGUGAUACUGAACCCUGACUGACUGUGGGCUCCACCCAGGCAAGAGCCAAUGGAGCUGGAGGUAGCGGGUGCAUGGGGAGGAGUGGACAUAUUCACUUCCCUAAAGCAGUGUGUGGGUCGACACGCACGCCACUGCAUGAUGUGUUGCUGAUGUUUAGGUCAGAGUAUAUAUGCAUGCCGUUAUGCACAUGCAUGUGUAUAGUAUGCAUAUAGAGAAUAGACAUAUCUCUAUUUCUGCAUAUGUGAAGGGGCCAUUGUGUGUAUAUGUGUGUGCUAUUAUGUGUCUAUGGGUCACAUAAUAAAACAAGAAAAACACAUUGGGUGUAUUUGUAUGUUUCUGUGUCAUUGCGUCUAUGUCUGUUUGCUACUGUGUCUAUGUUAUGUGCAUGGGAGGCAAUCAUUGCGUGAGUUUAUAAAUUGCAACACAUCAUGAUAUAUAUAGAUAUGGAUGCUACUAUAUGGCACAAUAUAGUAAUUGAUUACACAAUAUAUGAUAUGCUCAUAUAGUCAUGUAAA